GAUGAAGAACGUAGCGAAAUGCGAUAAGUAAAGUGAAUUGCAGAAUUCAGUGAAUCAUCGAAUCUUUGAACGCACAUUGCGCCCGCCAGUAUUCUGGCGGGCAUGCCUGUUCGAGCGUCAUUUCAACCCUCAGGCCCCCAGUGCCUGGUGUUGGGGAUCGGCCCAGCCUUCCUGUAAGGCCGCCGGCCCCGAAAUCUAGUGGCGGUCUCGCUGUAGUCCUCCUCUGCGUAGUAGCACAACCUCGCAGUUGGAACGCGGCGGUGGCCAUGCCGUUAAACACCCCACUUCUGAAAGUUGACCUCGGAUCAGGUAGGAAUACCCGCUGAACUUAAGCAUAUCAAUAAGCGGAGGA
RNAcentral lists this unclassified non-coding RNA (352 nucleotides) under soil metagenome. RNAcentral's name for it is "partial contains 5.8S ribosomal RNA, internal transcribed spacer 2, and large subunit ribosomal RNA". The stretch from base 1 to 120 matches the Rfam family "5.8S ribosomal RNA", at positions 35 to 154 of the family's 154-position model. The record is from RNAcentral.